CCUACGGGCGGCAGCAGUGAGGAAUAUUGGUCAAUGGGCGGGAGCCUGAACCAGCCAAGCCGCGUGAGGGAAGAAGGUACAGCGUAUCGUAAACCUCUUUUGUCAGGGAACAAAGGCGGGGACUAGUCCCCGGAUGAGGGUACCUGAAGAAAAAGCAUCGGCUAACCCCGUGCCAGCAGCCGCGGUAAUACGGGGGAUGCGAGCGUUAUCCGGAUUUAUUGGGUUUAAGGGGUGCGCAGGCGGCCUGUUAAGUCAGCGGGAAAAGCCCGGGGCUCAACCCCGGCGAGCCUUUGAAACUGGCGGGCUGGAGUGGGAGAGAAGUACGCGGAAUGCGCGGUGUAGCGGUGAAAUGCUUAGAUAUCGCGCAGAACCCCGGUUGCGAAGGCAGCGAACCGGCUCCACACUGACGCUGAGGCACGAAAGCGUGGGUAUCGAACAGGAUUAGAUACCCGUGUAGUC
This 459-nucleotide ribosomal RNA is filed under the name uncultured bacterium. Its description in RNAcentral is "partial 16S ribosomal RNA". It matches the Rfam family "Bacterial small subunit ribosomal RNA", at positions 338 to 795 of the family's 1533-position model. The record is from RNAcentral.